RNAcentral lists this long non-coding RNA (514 nucleotides) under Sinocyclocheilus anshuiensis. Its description in RNAcentral is "lncRNA (ENSSANG00000012251.1)". The record is from RNAcentral. Lineage: Eukaryota; Metazoa; Chordata; Actinopteri; Cypriniformes; Cyprinidae.
CAUUAGAUUAAAUAUGUGCAUUUAACUGCAUUAUUUAAAAUUGCUCUGUUUUGCUUUGUAGAGCCUGAAGUUACUAAAGAGAAAGCUAAACGGACCCCUGGGAAGAAAGAGGCUGAAGUCAUCAAAGAGAAAGCUAAACCAGCCCCUGAAAAGAAAGAGGCUGAAGUCAAGGAGAAAGCUAAACCAGCUCCUGUAAAGAAAGAGCCUGAAGUUGCUAAAGAAAAGGCUCCUGAACCAAAACCCAAAAAAGGUGAAAAGACUGUCCCAUAGGCCUUCUAGAACAUUUUACAUUUGUAUCAUAAAUAUGGUUGGUCUAAUUAUAGCAAAAAAAAAUAAAAAAUCAUUGUUUGACAUGAUGAAACUUAAAUAUCCUUCUGUUUUAUAGAACCUGAAGCUGUUAAAGAGAAAGCUAAACCAGUCCCUAAGUUGAAAGGUUUGGUUUACUGUGUUAACAAUUAAAUUAACAAUGUCUGUGAGCAAUAUUUUGCUAAUAAUAUGUUAAAAUUAUUUAUAU